RNAcentral lists this small nucleolar RNA (126 nucleotides) under Echinops telfairi (small Madagascar hedgehog). RNAcentral describes it as "Small nucleolar RNA SNORA65 (ENSETEG00000022550.1)". It matches the Rfam family "Small nucleolar RNA SNORA65". From Rfam's summary of the family: U65 belongs to the H/ACA class of snoRNAs which are thought to guide the sites of modification of uridines to pseudouridines. Lineage: Eukaryota; Metazoa; Chordata; Mammalia; Afrosoricida; Tenrecidae. The record is from RNAcentral.
UCCACCACUGCACCUGACCAUUCUCUGUUGCUGGUGCAAUCCAGUGGUGAGCUGAGAGUAAGCCCCUGCUCAGGAAACAGUGUUGUUCUUCAUGUGGAUGACUCUGCCGAAAGCAUGGGGACAGUC